AACGAACGCUGGCGGCAUGCCUAACACAUGCAAGUCGAACGAGACCUUCGGGUCUAGUGGCGCACGGGUGCGUAACGCGUGGGAACCUACCCUUAGGUUCGGAAUAACUCCCCGAAAGGGGUGCUAAUACCGGAUAAUGUCUUCGGACCAAAGACUUAUCGCCUUUGGAUGGGCCCGCGUUGGAUUAGCUAGUUGGUAGGGUAAAAGCCUACCAAGGCGACGAUCCAUAGCUGGUCUGAGAGGAUGAUCAGCCACACUGGGACUGAGACACGGCCCAGACUCCUACGGGAGGCAGCAGUGGGGAAUAUUGGACAAUGGGCGAAAGCCUGAUCCAGCAAUGCCGCGUGAGUGAUGAAGGCCUUAGGGUUGUAAAGCUCUUUUACCCGGGAUGAUAAUGACAGUACCGGGAGAAUAAGCUCCGGCUAACUCCGUG
RNAcentral lists this ribosomal RNA (433 nucleotides) under uncultured bacterium. RNAcentral describes it as "partial 16S ribosomal RNA". It matches the Rfam family "Bacterial small subunit ribosomal RNA", at positions 29 to 507 of the family's 1533-position model. The record is from RNAcentral.